GAUGAACGCUAGCGGGAGGCCUAACACAUGCAAGCCGGGCGGUAUUGUUUCUUCGGAAAUGAGAGAGCGGCGUACGGGUGCGUAACACGUGUGCAACCUGCCUUUAUCUGGGGGAUAGCCUUUCGAAAGGAAGAUUAAUACUCCAUAAUAUAUUGAACGGCAUCGUUUAAUAUUGAAAGCUCCGGCGGAUAGAGAUGGGCACGCGCAAGAUUAGCUAGUUGGUGAGGUAACGGCUCACCAAGGCGAUGAUCUUUAGGGGGCCUGAGAGGGUGAUCCCCCACACUGGUACUGAGACACGGACCAGACUCCUACGGGAGGCAGCAGUGAGGAAUAUUGGUCAAUGGGUGCAAGCCUGAACCAGCCAUCCCGCGUGAAGGACGACUGCCCUAUGGGUUGUAAACUUCUUUUGUAUAGGGAUAAACCUACCCUCGAGAGGGUAGCUGAAGGUACUAUACGAAUAAGCACCGGCUAACUCCGUG
RNAcentral lists this ribosomal RNA (479 nucleotides) under uncultured bacterium. Its description in RNAcentral is "partial 16S ribosomal RNA". It matches the Rfam family "Bacterial small subunit ribosomal RNA", at positions 28 to 507 of the family's 1533-position model. The record is from RNAcentral.